RNAcentral lists this ribosomal RNA (408 nucleotides) under uncultured bacterium. RNAcentral describes it as "partial 16S ribosomal RNA". It matches the Rfam family "Bacterial small subunit ribosomal RNA", at positions 28 to 526 of the family's 1533-position model. The record is from RNAcentral.
GACGAACGCUGGCGGCGUGCUUAACACAUGCAAGUCGAACGAAGUGGCGAACGGGUGAGUCACGCGUAAUCAACCUGCCCUUCAGAGGGGGACAACAGUUGGAAACGACUGCUAAUACCGCAUACUGAAGGAGGGGAUUGCGUCUGAUUAGCUAGUUGUAGGGGUAACGGCCCAACAAGGCGAUGAUCAGUAGCCGGUCUGAGAGGAUGAAUGGCCACACUGGGACUGAGACACGGCCCAGAAGCCGACGGGAUGCAGCAGUGGGGAAUCUUCCGCAAUGGAAGAAAGUCUGACGGAGCAACGCCGCGUGAGUGAUGACGGCCUUCGGGUUGUAAAGCUCUUUUAAUCGGGACGCGGUACCGGAAUAGAAAGCCACGGCUAACUACGUGCCAGCCGCCGCGGUAAUUC